Molecule: unclassified non-coding RNA, 379 nt
Filed under: soil metagenome
Description: partial contains 5.8S ribosomal RNA, internal transcribed spacer 2, and large subunit ribosomal RNA
Rfam family: 5.8S ribosomal RNA (bases 1-120)
Source: RNAcentral
GAUGAAGAACGUAGCGAAAUGCGAUAAGUAAUGUGAAUUGCAGAAUUCAGUGAAUCAUCGAAUCUUUGAACGCACAUUGCGCCCGCCAGUAUUCUGGCGGGCAUGCCUGUUCGAGCGUCAUUUCAACCCUCAGGUCCCCCUUUUCGGAGGGGGAGACACCCUGGUGUUGGGGGACGGCAUCCUGGCCCGCUGUCUCACAGUGUGCCACGCCGCCCCCGAAAUGAAUUGGCGGCCUCGUCGCGUGCCACCCCUGCGUAGUAGCACAACCUCGCAACGGGAGCCCGACGCGGCCACUGCCGUAAAACGCCCAACUUUUACCGAGUUGACCUCGAAUCAGGUAGGAAUACCCGCUGAACUUAAGCAUACAAUAAGCGGAGGA